This 253-nucleotide ribosomal RNA is filed under the name uncultured bacterium. Its description in RNAcentral is "partial 16S ribosomal RNA". It matches the Rfam family "Bacterial small subunit ribosomal RNA", at positions 524 to 776 of the family's 1533-position model. The record is from RNAcentral.
UACGUAGGGGGCUAGCGUUGUCCGGAAUCAUUGGGCGUAAAGAGCGCGUAGGCGGCCCGGUAAGUCCGCUGUAAAAGUCAAAGGCUCAACCUUUGAAUGUCAGUGGAUACUGCCGGGCUAGAGUCCGGAAGAGGCGAGUGGAACUCCUGGUGUAGCGGUGGAAUGCGCAGAUAUCAGGAGGAACACCGGUGGCGAAGGCGGGACUCUGGGCCGAUACUGACGCUGAGGAGCGAAAGCGUGGGGAGCAAACAGG